This 206-nucleotide ribosomal RNA is filed under the name Vibrio parahaemolyticus. RNAcentral's name for it is "partial 23S ribosomal RNA". It matches the Rfam family "Bacterial large subunit ribosomal RNA", at positions 1626 to 1816 of the family's 2925-position model. Lineage: Bacteria; Pseudomonadati; Pseudomonadota; Gammaproteobacteria; Vibrionales; Vibrionaceae. The record is from RNAcentral.
UUCAGAUUGUAAGGAAUCGUACCCCAAACCGACACAGGUGGUCGGGUAGAGAAUACCAAGGCGCUUGAGAGAACUCGGGUGAAGGAACUAGGCAAAAUGGUACCGUAACUUCGGGAGAAGGUACGCUCUUGAUGGUGAAGUCCCUCGCGGAUGGAGCUGACGAGAGUCGCAGAUACCAGGUGGCUGCAACUGUUUAUUAAAAACAC